Molecule: ribosomal RNA, 498 nt
Filed under: uncultured bacterium
Lineage: Bacteria
Description: SSU rRNA
Rfam family: Bacterial small subunit ribosomal RNA
Source: RNAcentral
AGAACGAACGCUGGCGGCGUGGAUAAGACAUGCAAGUCGAGCGAGAUUUUUUCUUGUAGCAAUACAGGGAAAAGUCUAGCGGCGAACGGGUGCUUAACACGUGGGCAAUCUGUCUUAAAGUGGGGGAUAGCUCGGCGAAAGGCGAAUUAAUACCGCAUGUGGUUGUAAGACCAAAGCCAGGGCAACCUGGCGCUUUUAGAGGAACUCGCGGCCUAUCAGCUUGUUGGUGAGGUAACGGCUUACCAAGGCUUCGACGGGUAGCUGGUCUGAGAGGACGACCAGCCACACUGGAACUGAGACACGGUCCAGACACCUACGGGUGGCAGCAGUCGAGAAUUUUUCUCAAUGGGGGAAACCCUGAAGGAGCGACGCCGCGUGGAGGAUGAAUGCUUUCGGGUUGUAAACUCCUGUCAUUUGGGAACAAGCCUUACGUUAACUGCGUGGAGGUUUGAUAGUACCGAAAGAGGAAGAGACGGCUAACUCUGUGCCAGCAGCCGC